This 74-nucleotide transfer RNA is filed under the name Candidatus Dormiibacterota bacterium. It matches the Rfam family "tRNA". From Rfam's summary of the family: Transfer RNA (tRNA) molecules are approximately 80 nucleotides in length. RNAcentral also lists the same sequence under 1 other name. The record is from Rfam by way of RNAcentral. Lineage: Bacteria; Bacillati; Candidatus Dormiibacterota.
GCCGACGUAGCUCAGUCCGGCAGAGCAAUCGCCUUGUAAGCGAAAGGUCGCGGGUUCGAUUCCCGCCGUCGGCU